RNAcentral lists this long non-coding RNA (3263 nucleotides) under Varroa destructor (honeybee mite). RNAcentral's name for it is "uncharacterized LOC111251365". Lineage: Eukaryota; Metazoa; Arthropoda; Arachnida; Mesostigmata; Varroidae. The record is from RNAcentral.
CGCCAUCGUCAGUGUCUCCUCCUCGUUUUUUUCUGUCGACCCGUGCGGAGCGUUGCAUAGGGGAGUUUUCGUCCGCGCAAAAAGACGAGCGCCUCCUCCCGGAAGGACGCAUCUCGUGAGACAAACGAUAUGACAAGUUCCUGCUUAGGUAGGGGCGUCAAAAAGGCAAUAGCUACUUCCGAAACGUUUACCGAAACACCGGUAAGAGAAACACUGCUACCUGCUGACGUAGUUUUCUGUUCGUAGUGGCUUGUCGUGUUGAUGUAGAUUACCGCAAAUUGUUAUUUUACUCCGUGGAUGAGACAAGCCGGAGCGGGUUUCUUGGUUUGCCCAUCUUUAUGCCAACCUAUUCUUGUAACCCUUUAUUCUCCUCUUUCCCGGCUCACCUCGAUUUAUUAUACUUGGCAUUGUUUUCGCUGCUACUUCCGCUGCUCUCUCUGCCUAGCCUGACUUGCAGCAAAAGAACAGCGCAACCAACAUUUUUCCUACUUUAAGUUUUGUAUCUCUCAAGAGCAAUCCGUUGAAUUUGUAACGUACUCCGUUCUACAAAUGUCUUGCAAAAAUCUAGUCAUGCUGCUGAUACUGAGGUAACGCAUCGUUCCAUUUAUGUCUUGCCGCCCAUUUCCUGAGAGUCUAAGCCGACCCGUGUUGCUCCGUCCUGCCCUGUCUUGUGCUGCCUUUUAGUCCUAACCCUGCAGCUUACGGUACUGCCGGUGUCAGCUGUAAUAGUAGUAGUACCAUUGAUAGCUAUGAUGGCCUUGGCUGAGACACUUAGUGCUCUGUCGGACAUGGGAGCCUUCAUUUUGCCGUUUGCUUACACUGAGGUCCGUCCUUCCCUGUUUUUUCGUCGUCUUCCAACACGCCGUCGGGUCCGCCCCCGUAGCCCCCGUUACUCGCUGCUGCGCUGCGCCGCGGCCCCGUUUCGUUCUGUGGCUCAUACAGACGGACUGACUCAAUAGCUUCGACGUUCGUUCGCUCCGAUUGGCAGCAAUAACGAUGAGCAAAUUAUUCCGACGACGUUAUCAAUUCCCAAGAAGUCUGUAAGGCAAAACUUGCUAGACCGGUCAGGUCGCUUGCAAGGGAAGUCCUUGCAAAAUAACGGAUCUGCUCGAAUUUGAAUUCCCGAUACGCGUUGUCGUUUCGCUUCGUCCCAUCGUCUUGCUGGUUUGACGGUGUCGUGAGACCUUGUCCGCAAGACAAUCGCUUUAGCGAAGAGUGAGCUGCUAGAAUAGUACUCAACAAACAGUUAAAGGAAUAGCCAACCAACGCUCGGCUGGCAACCGUUCAUCCCUUGGGAGGCCACGAGAAUUUGCCACUACCAACCUGACGCAUGAACCAAAAGCAGAUUUCAUCUCCGAAGCACUGAAGACUCUUAAAGGAGGCCUUAGGAAAAGAGGCUUUCCAUGCUGGUUCUCUUCUCGGCACCCACGCUCAAAGCCCCGAAGACGCGAAGGCAGGCAAAAGCAGACAAUAUCGGUGAAAGCUUGACUGCAGUGCCUCCGUCGAGGUGGGCCAACGAGAGGAAGCUCGUGUACGGAAUAUUAUUCGAUGUGUAUGCGAAGUUCGAGACUUGGCCAAAGGGACCCAUGAGACCGGAAACAUCGAAAUUCGUCAGAGGAAAGACUGUUUCGCGAUUUUACUACCGAAAAGUACCACUAUAACUAGAGCAGAUCAGCUGGCACAAUCAGCCCUGUAUACGAUGAUCUAAAACCGUCAGCCGGUUCUCGUUUGACGGUCAACAGAAUCGCGCGGUCAGAUCAAUUAGUAUAUCCAUCGACGACAGAAAGUGUACGGAAUUCGAGGGACGCCCAGUAGUUUCCUCAUCACCUGGUUUCAGCCAAAUUCCGAACAAAUUCUUGAGACGAGAAAUAUUGACGGUGAAUGCGACUGGCUCGCUGCCGAAACACUAAUUUAUCGGAACGGCCUUCACCUUGGCUAUUUUCGCUGCUGAAGCCUGGUCGGUCAGCCACUUGUCGUUGUUGGCUUUCGACAAAGAGACGGCUAUGCCGCGAUGCUAGAGCCCUGUUCCCAGUGUUACUAACCUAAGAAACCGCUUAGAAGGCGAUCCGCUACCACAAUUGCUGAAUUUAGGAAUAUUUUUUCGGCAGAAACAAGUAGGCAACCAUCUAACUUAGUAGUUUUCUAUAAAUUUCCUUUGUAAGCGACCGUCAUAAGUGCAACGGCGAUCUUCAUCGGAAGCGAGUGUUGCUUAGCAGCGCAAUCCUUCUCCAUUUCGGUGACGAUCACAGGCCACAGUAGCAGUAACGCUCAAUGUGGCUGCGUCACAAUGUUUCCCUAAAAGCCAAUUCCUUCGGUGACUUGAUGCGAGUUCGGGCUUGCUAGACGAGUCCUUUUUUUUCACUCACUGCACUUGUGUCAGUAGGUCGGUCGGUUCCUGAAUUCUUUUUGCUUUGUUUGGUCCUAUUUUCCUACUGCCGAAAGACGACUGUAGAAUUUUUUUCUUUUCUUCUAUACUAAUUCAUUGAUGAGCUGGCCUAGUGACUAGUUGGUGUUCUUCUUCCAUAAAACGUCAGUUAUCGCCCGCGCACACACUCUUUCUAGAUCUUGCCUCUUUAUUCUUAAACAACCUUUUCAUAUGGGCUUGCCUUUAAAGCCGUUCUGCUUCGUCAACACUUGCAGCCCACGCAAGUCUCGGCCAUGAUCCUUGGCCAAUAACGCGGCGCAGUAAAGGACGCGACGCGGCAAUUCGCCUGCGUAGAAUAAUGCGUCUACGGUGCGUUUGCAUUGGACCGCUGCCAUCCGAAGGAUCUAACUUUUAAUAGAUAAGUAGCUGUUAUUGUUUAUACCAUUAAAGUGAGGUCGAGGCGGCAUCCCGAUUGGGCAUCAAUUUGAGGUGUGGAAUGACUGUAUUAUAGAAAGCCAGCUGUCCUUUAGGUUCUCGACGCGAAGUAAGCGGAAUUAAUGAGUUGCCUCGACUCCAAGAAGCGUUCCACUUCUCAUAGCUGGUCAAAUUUCGGGAAGAAUUUUUGCGACGAAAACAUUUUUAACUCGUGAGUUGGUUGGUGGAGCUAUUCGUCAAUUUCAACAAUACCCCGGUAAAUCGCUGGCGGUGACUGAUAAGUCGAAUGUCACUAAAUAUAAAUAACAUUAGACAAGUUCCUUUUAAAGAUUGAAUACCAAAUUAGAGCAGCAUUGGCUGUUGCUCUUCAAUGAUGGCUACUAUGCUUUUGUAAACAGACAUACGUUCUGAAUCUGUCUAGUACUCGAACUGGAAUCGGCUAAAAAAAAAAUGUGAAACAGGA